Molecule: ribosomal RNA, 194 nt
Filed under: uncultured bacterium
Lineage: Bacteria
Description: partial 16S ribosomal RNA
Rfam family: Bacterial small subunit ribosomal RNA
Source: RNAcentral
CCUACGGGAGGUAGCAGUAGGGAAUCUUCCUUCCUGGGCGAAAGCCUGACCGACCAACGCCCGGCGAGUGAUGGAGGGCUUCGGGCCGUAAACCUCUGUCAGUAAGGAAGAACAUAUGUGUAAGUAAGUGUGCGCGUCUCGCCGGUACCUAAUCAGAAAGCAACGGCUAAGUACGCUCCAGCAGCCGCGGUAAU